GUUUGAUACUGGCGAUAGACAACGUUCAAGAACUACAUUUGUUGGAACUCCAUGCUGGAUGGCUCCCGAAGUGAUGCAGCAACUACAUGGAUAUGAUUUUAAAGCAGAUAUAUGGUCAUUUGGAAUAACAGCCCUUGAACUUGCUCAUGGUCAUGCACCAUUCUCCAAGUACCCACCCAUGAAGGUUCUGCUGAUGACCCUACAGAAUGCACCUCCAGGCCUGGACUAUGAACGGGACAAGAGAUUCUCUAAGUCUUUUAAAGAAAUG
RNAcentral lists this unclassified non-coding RNA (268 nucleotides) under Hevea brasiliensis (rubber tree). Lineage: Eukaryota; Viridiplantae; Streptophyta; Magnoliopsida; Malpighiales; Euphorbiaceae. The record is from RNAcentral.